GCUGAGAUCCCUGGAAUCGUGUGUAGCGUUCAAUUGCAGCACAUAAUACUUAGUGUGUAAAUGUUGCCUACACAUAUUUUUAGUCGUCUUAUGAGUUGAAUUGACCUCGUGAAAUGUUUAUCUGUUUUUUUUUCCUCCAUAUGUGCCGAUACUGGAAUUUCUUUUCGAGAAAUACUCACUUUCGUACUUUGAAAUUCGGAAAGUAGACAUUUCAAUUGUGGAAAUCCAAAAAGUUUUUGGGAUUAGAAUAUUUUCCUUAUUUCUUUCAAAUAUAUUGCGAGUUGUGAUUGUGAAGGAGCAAUAUAAUACCCGUAUUUGGGGAUCAUUUAAGUACAUGGAAGGAUUACUUAUCUUCUAAGGCCGUCCAACAUCAAAAAAAUAACGUAAAAUACAAGAUCGCUGACGAUUGAGAAUUUAUUUCGACUCAUCAACAUCGAAUCGAUUGAAUGCUGCAAGGUUUUGGCACAAACUAACCAGACAAUUCACUCUGCCGUUUUUAGGCACGGCGUUUCGUUGACCUUGAUAUUCACUAUGAACUACUGUAGUAAAAAAUGACAAAGGUAACCGAACUUCCCACUCUUUCUAAAAGGUUCAAAACGCAUGUGAUUUGUCAGAUUAACCCAUUCAAAUUUUUGAAUUCACCCGACUGCUUAUAUUCAACUCCUAUUCUCUUUGAAUAUUGAAUACCAAGCAAAAUUCAUCAAAGUAUUCAAAAUACCUGUUUUUUUAAAAACAUUAAAUAUAUUUCUUUGAAUUAAAACAACAAAGGAACUAAAUAUUUUAUUAUUUAUAAUUAGUAAAUAUUGAAGCCGGUCAAGGUAAAAAAAGUACGAAGUGUUCUAUUAAAAAUUGUAAUAGUGCAAGAUAUCAAGGGAUUUCUACGAAUUCCAUAAGAUUCUUCAGAUUUCCUAAUCCAGUUUAUAAGGACCGAGUGAUGCAAUGGAAAUUGGCUUGUAGUGAUGACAUAAUAAUGAACAAAGAUGCAAUGCUGUUAUAUUCAAAUAACAAAAUAUGCAGUAUCCACUUUGAUGCCAACCUAAAUCACCGUUUAUCGAAAAAUGCAAUUCCAACAUUGAAUCUGUUCCGAAAACCAAGAGGAAUAGAUGUUCAAACCCAAACAGAAGAUAAAAUGGGAACCGAAGGAAAACGAGUUGCACAUAUAGAAACUCAAACAACCAAAGAAUUAUCUCACCAAACACCAAGAAAAAGAAAGUUGAGGCAUCUAAUUGAGUCAAAGGAAAAUGAAAUUAAAGACAUUCAACCUCGAACAGUCUAUUCAGGAAAUAGAUCCCUGUAAGACACAACUAUCUGAAGACAAAUUCAAAAAUAAUAAUAAUAAUAAUAAUAGUUUAUUGUGACAUAAACAUAAAUCGCAGAGGCUGAAGCCUGUACGCGAUAUACAAUUAACAUAUGAACAAUAUUACAAUAGCCACAUUUGAAAUAAAUCUAAUUCUGAAUAAAAACUGAAUAAAUAAUGGAAUUGAUCGAAUCAUAUCAAAAUGAGGAUAACUUGAAGUGUCGAGAACUCAGUGAUGACUCUUUAGUGUUGUAACCUUGGUGACAUGCAGUUGAGGAUUACCGGUGCAUCAUCUAGAGGCCGAUCUAAGGUAGGCAGGAAUUCUUGGAUAUGAGGUUUCAUCCAUGAUUCAACCAUUGAUUAUGGAUUGAAUAUAUUUUCUUCCUUUUUCAAAAAUCCAUUUCUUUAUCAUAAUUUGUUGCUUCUUAUUGUGUCUUAUGUCUUUCAGGUUCUUCGGGAUCAUACUAUAAAUGCGUGGAGCCAGGUAUGUGAAGCAUCUUUGUCCAAUUCGCUUUUCUGCUCUAGGAAUCACGUGAAUUAUCUUACUUCUUGUUUCAUAACUGCAAUCGGUUUGUCUUAAUGUGAGUUGUAUUCUUCUAGAACAGAUGGCCGUUAAUAUCUGGGAUACAAAUAACUCUUGAGGAUUCAUUGCCCGCGAUAAGAAGUAUAAUUCGUCUGAAGGAAACAAAUGGGGCUUUCCGUAGAUUACACGGAGCAACCAUUUCUGGACCACUUCUACUCUUUUUAUAUGACAUUCGUAUGCUCCACCCCAGGCAAUAAUUCCAUACUUUAUCAGCGAUUGGCAUAGAGCAUUAUAUAUCUGCAUUAGCCUUUCUAUUUCCAAAUACUUUUUAAGGUAUCUAAACUUUGAUAGAAGGCAUCUA
Molecule: long non-coding RNA, 2181 nt
Organism: Harmonia axyridis
Lineage: Eukaryota; Metazoa; Arthropoda; Insecta; Coleoptera; Coccinellidae
Exons: 3
Source: RefSeq, a predicted model, not a curated record